GACGAACGCUGGCGGCGUGCCUAAUACAUGCAAGUAGAACGCACAGUUUAUACCGUAGCUUGCUACACCAUAGACUGUGAGUUGCGAACGGGUGAGUAACGCGUAGGUAACCUGCCUGGUAGCGGGGGAUAACUAUUGGAAACGAUAGCUAAUACCGCAUAAUAUUAAUUAUUGCAUGAUAAUUAAUUGAAAGGUGCAAUUGCACCACUACCAGAUGGACCUGCGUUGUAUUAGCUAGUAGGUGAGGUAACGGCUCACCUAGGCGACGAUACAUAGCCGACCUGAGAGGGUGAUCGGCCACACUGGGACUGAGACACGGCCCAGACUCCUACGGGAGGCAGCAGUAGGGAAUCUUCGGCAAUGGACGAAAGUCUGACCGAGCAACGCCGCGUGAGUGAAGAGGGUUUUCGGAUCGUAAAGCUCUGUUGUAAGAGAAGAACGGGUGUGAGAGUGGAAAGUUCACACUGUGACGGUAGCUGACCAGAAAGGGACGGCUAACUACGUG
RNAcentral lists this ribosomal RNA (505 nucleotides) under uncultured bacterium. Its description in RNAcentral is "partial 16S ribosomal RNA". It matches the Rfam family "Bacterial small subunit ribosomal RNA", at positions 28 to 507 of the family's 1533-position model. The record is from RNAcentral.